GUAGGGAAUAUUGGACAAUGGGGGGAACCCUGAUCCAGCCAUGCCGCGUGGAGGAAGACUGCCCUCUGGGUUGUAAACUCCUUUUAUAUGGGAAGAACCGUCCUCAUUAAUGAGUGACCUGACGGUACCAUAGGAAUAAGCACCGGCUAACUCCGUGCCAGCAGCCGCGGUAAUACGGAGGGUGCAAGCGUUAUCCGGAUUCACUGGGUUUAAAGGGUGCGUAGGCGGAUAAAUAAGUCAGUGGUGAAAUCAACGGGCUCAACCUGUUAACUGCCAUUGAUACUGUGUAUCUUGAAUAUGAGAGAGGUAGGCGGAAUGUUGCAUGUAGCGGUGAAAUGCUUAGAUAUGCUACGGAACACCGAUUGCGAAGGCAGCUAGCUGGGCCUUGAUUGACGCUGAGGCACGAAAGCGUGGGUAGCGAACAGGAUUAGAAACCCUUGUAGUCC
RNAcentral lists this ribosomal RNA (446 nucleotides) under uncultured bacterium. RNAcentral's name for it is "partial 16S ribosomal RNA". It matches the Rfam family "Bacterial small subunit ribosomal RNA", at positions 354 to 796 of the family's 1533-position model. The record is from RNAcentral.